AGAUGAUGAGGGCGUCACAUGCCACCUUCUUCAGGACCCGCUGGUGCUCCGGGGCCACCAGGUAGGCCGCCUCCUGUCCCUCCUGUACCCUCCGCAAGCUGCACCAACCCUGAUGAUGUCAGGGCUCCCAGCAUCUCACAGAAGGUUCAAGGUCCUGACCUUGUCCUCCUUCUCAUAUACGGAAGGAGACUGAGUGACGACGAACCGGACGUGCAGGUCACGUGCAGGCCGGAAGAUGUACUCGUUAGCUACGUACUUGAGACGAUACAGAAUGGAUAGCAGUUCUUCCAGAUACUCAUAAAUAACAGCCUCAUCUUCAUGCAAAGCCAAGCUGCGCUGUUGUGAGUCUUCUUUGCAGGCAGUGAGCUCCUCAAAGAUUACAGUUAGUUGCUGGGCAUCGUGGCUUUUAAUGUCUUCAUCAGAGAUGUCUCUCUGAUUCACAAUAAUAUCACAGCCCUGAGCUGCUUACGACCAGCUGGUAACCAUGAUUCCUCUCCGAGCUGUCAACCAGAAUUUUGAAA
Molecule: long non-coding RNA, 521 nt
Organism: Pomacea canaliculata
Lineage: Eukaryota; Metazoa; Mollusca; Gastropoda; Architaenioglossa; Ampullariidae
Exons: 4
Source: RefSeq, a predicted model, not a curated record